Molecule: ribosomal RNA, 1620 nt
Filed under: metagenome
Description: bacterial LSU rRNA
Rfam family: Bacterial large subunit ribosomal RNA
Source: RNAcentral
UCUAUUAUAGGGAGAAGCAUGACCGGAAGGACAUGUGGACGAGAUAGAAGAGAGAAUGCCGGAAUGAGUAGCGAGAAUUAUGUGAGAAUCAUAAUGGUCGAAAACCUAAGGUUUCUUGAGGAAGGUUCGUCCGCUUAAGGUAAGCCGGGAGCUAAGGCGAGGCCGAAAGGCGUAGUCGAUGCACAUACGGUAGAAAUUCCGUAGCCACCGAAAUUGUUAAGCACAGGGACGCAGGAACAUAAUCCAACCGCACCGAUGGUCGAGUGCGGCGAAAGGGAGCGAAAAUUAAGUAGCGAAGUGGAUGAUUGUACACUGACGAGAAAAGCUGUGUGGAUUGAUGAGGUGCCCGUACCGUAAACCGACACAGGUGGGUGAGGAGAGAAUCCUAAGACCAGCGGGAGAAGUGUUGUUAAGGAACUCGGCAAAUUGACCCCGUAACUUCGGGAAAAGGGGUGCCUGCUAGCGCAGGCCGCAGAGAAUAGGCCCAAGCGACUGUUUAGCAAAAACACAGGUCUCUGCUAAAUCGAAAGAUGAAGUAUAGGGGCUGACGCCUGCCCGGUGCCGGAAGGUUAAGAGGAGGACUUAGCGCAAGCGAAGGUCUGAAUUGAAGCCCCGGUAAACGGCGGCCGUAACUAUAACGGUCCUAAGGUAGCGAAAUUCCUUGUCAGGUAAGUUCUGACCCGCACGAAUGGCGUAACGAUUUGGGCACUGUCUCAACAACACACCCGGUGAAAUUGUAGUACCGGUGAAGAUGCCGGUUACCCGCGACUAGACGGAAAGACCCCAUGGAGCUUUACUGUAACUUGAUAUUGGAUUUUGGUAUUGCAUGUACAGGAUAGGUGGGAGACUGAGAAGCACAGACGCCAGUUUGUGUGGAGUCAAUGUUGGGAUACCACUCUUGUGAUACUGGAAUUCUAACCUGCGGCCGUGAAACCGGUCGGGGGACAAUGUCUGGUGGACAGUUUGACUGGGGCGGUCACCUCCUAAAGAGUAACGGAGGCGUUCAAAGGUUAGCUCAGUACGGUCAGAAAUCGUACGAAGAGUGCAAACGCAAAAGCAAGCCUAACUGCGAGACGAACAGGUCGAGCAGUAACGAAAGUUGGAGUUAGUGAUCCGGCGGUAAGAGAGUGGAAUUGCCGUCGCUCAACGGAUAAAAGCUACCCUGGGGAUAACAGGCUGAUCUCCCCCAAGAGUCCAUAUCGACGGGGAGGUUUGGCACCUCGAUGUCGGCUCAUCGCAUCCUGGAGCUGGAGUCGGUUCCAAGGGUUGGGCUGUUCGCCCAUUAAAGCGGUACGCGAGCUGGGUUCAGAACGUCGCGAGACAGUUCGGUCCCUAUCUGUCGCGGGCGCAGGAAAUUGGAAGGGAGCUGUCCUUAGUACGAGAGGACCGGGAUGGACGUACCACUGGUGUACCAGUUGUCUUGCCAAAGGCACGGCUGGGUAGCUAAGUACGGAAGGAAUAAACGCUGAAGGCAUCUAAGCGUGAAGUCCCCCCUAAGAGAAGAUUUCCCAUUCUUUAAAAGAAGUAAGACCCCACGUAGACUAUGUGGUUGAUAGGUCGGAGGUGUAAGUGUGGUAACACAUUAAGCUGACCGAUACUAAUAGGUCGAGGGCUUGACCU